ACCGUCGACAGUCAGGCAACGAGCGAGACCCACGCCAACAGUUGCCAGCUCGUCCUCCGGGAUGGUGGGGACACUGUUGGGACCGCCUCUGCUAAAGAGGAGGAAGGAAUGGGCAACGGUAGGUCAGCAUGCCCCGAAUUAUCCGGGCUACACGCGGGCUACAAUGGGUGGGACAAUGGGUAUCGACACCGAAAGGUGAAGGCAAUCUCCUAAACCCAUCCUUAGUUCGGAUUGUGGGCUGCAACUCGCCCACAUGAAGCUGGAAUCCGUAGUAAUCGUGUUUCAAAAUAGCACGGUGAAUAUGUCCCUGCUCCUUGCACGAAUUCGCCG
This 330-nucleotide ribosomal RNA is filed under the name uncultured Methanomicrobiales archaeon. RNAcentral's name for it is "bacterial SSU rRNA". It matches the Rfam family "Archaeal small subunit ribosomal RNA", at positions 1023 to 1352 of the family's 1478-position model. The record is from RNAcentral. Lineage: Archaea; Methanobacteriati; Methanobacteriota; Methanomicrobia; Methanomicrobiales.